GCACCAAUAUGGCCUUUGGGAAGGUGACAGAGGAGACUGUCUACACCUGCACCGGGCACCCGCUCAAGUCAGACAUUGCCAACAUCCUGGACUGGAUGUUGAAUCGAGAUUUCACCACAGCCUACAGAAAUAUUACAGAAUUGAAAACUCUGAAGGGGUUGGCACUGCAUGAUAUCCUGACAGAGAUACACUUGUUUGUGCAUAGAGUUGACUUUCCAUCUUCAGUUCGAAUACAUUUAUUGACCAAAAUGGCAGACAUUGAGUACAGGCUUUCUGUUGGCACCAACGAGAAGAUCCAGCUGAGCUCCCUCAUUGCUGCAUUUCAAGUCACCAGAGACCUGAUUGUUGCAGAGGCCUAGAUGCUCUGAGGGCCGUUCACAAUUCUCAGGGCUCAGCAGUGACGGGAGAACAGAGGACAGUUCCAGGAUAAACUGCUGCCUGGGGCUGUGGGAUGAAUCAGUCACCCCGAAUCUUGGAAAAAACCCCUUCCAGGAGAGGAUGGGCAGGCAUUUAAAAAGUACCGUUUUUGUGGUUGUUUGGAGCAGGGAUGUACAAAAUAAUUUUAAUGUAUUAACUCAUACUGCCUGUCUUUUAUAGGGGAAAAAAAUAACCUUUUUUAUUUUAAAGUUAUAAGGUUUUUACCUUUUAGUUGCUUGGAUGACAGGGAAUUAGCCUACCCCAUUUUGGUCUGGAACAGAAGACUUUCAAAUUUAAUAUGGUCCAAGUGUCUUCCUACUCAAGGCAAGAUCAUGCUCUGUCAGUCACCCAGGCUGGAAUACCGUGACACGAUCGUGGCUCGCUACAGCCUCUGUGUCCCAGGCUCGAGCAGUUCUCCCACCUCAGCCUCCUGAGUAGCCGGAACCACAGCCUCUCAUUUUGAAAAGACAUGUUUUUCUUCAAGCAACAAAGGUGGUAGAGGAAAUUCCUCAACUUUCUCAACGAGUCAUGUAACGUUACACUGGCCUCCAUAAAGCACCGAUUAAGAAAGCUAAAGAAUAAGAUGUUGUAUUUCUUUUAAAAUAAUUUAAAAUAUAUUAAAUUUUCCUAAGGCAG
Molecule: small RNA, 1053 nt
Filed under: Pan troglodytes (chimpanzee)
Lineage: Eukaryota; Metazoa; Chordata; Mammalia; Primates; Hominidae
Description: processed transcript
Source: RNAcentral